CCUACGGGAGGCAGCAGUGAGGAAUAUUGGUCAAUGGGCGAUAGCCUGAACCAGCCAAGUAGCGGGAAGGAUGACUGCCCUAUGGGUUGUAAACCUCUUUUAUAUGGGAGUAAAGUGCUGUAUGUAUACUGUUUUGCCUGUACCUUAUGAAUAAGGAUCGGCUAACUCCGUGCCAGCAGCCGCGGUAAUACGGAGGAUCCGAGCGUUAUCCGGAUUUAUUGGGUUUAAAGGGGGCGUAGGCGGGUUGUUAAGUCAGUUGUGAAAGUUUGCGGCUCAACCUUAAAAUUGCGGUUGAUACUGGAGGGCUAGAGUACAGUCGAGGUAGGCGGAAUGCGUGGUGUAGCGGUGAAAUGCUUAGAUAUCACGAAGAACACCGAUUGCGAAGGCAGCCUGCUGGACUGUGACUGACGCUGAUGCACGAAAGUGUGGGUAUCAAACAGGAUUAGAUACCCGAGUAGUC
Molecule: ribosomal RNA, 460 nt
Filed under: uncultured bacterium
Lineage: Bacteria
Description: partial 16S ribosomal RNA
Rfam family: Bacterial small subunit ribosomal RNA
Source: RNAcentral